GCCCUCGGUGGCUCAGAUGGAUAGAGCGUCUGCCAUGUAAGCAGGAGAUCCCAGGUUCAAGUCCUGGCCAAGGCA
This 75-nucleotide transfer RNA is filed under the name Schistocerca americana (American grasshopper). Its description in RNAcentral is "tRNA-Thr". It matches the Rfam family "tRNA". Rfam says of the family: Transfer RNA (tRNA) molecules are approximately 80 nucleotides in length. Their secondary structure includes four short double-helical elements and three loops (D, anti-codon, and T loops). Lineage: Eukaryota; Metazoa; Arthropoda; Insecta; Orthoptera; Acrididae. The record is from RNAcentral.